UACAGGGGGGGCAAGCGUUGUUCGGAAUUACUGGGCGUAAAGGGCUCGUAGGUGGCCGACUAAGUCAGACGUGAAAUCCCUCAGCUUAACUGGGGAACUGCGUCUGAUACUGGAUGGCUUGAGUUUGGGAGAGGGAUGCGGAAUUCCGGGUGUAGCGGUGAAAUGCGUAGAUAUCCGGAGGAACACCGGUGGCGAAGGCGGCUUCCUGGACCGACACUGACGCUGAGGCGCGAAAGCUAGGGGAGCAAACGGG
RNAcentral lists this ribosomal RNA (253 nucleotides) under uncultured bacterium. Its description in RNAcentral is "partial 16S ribosomal RNA". It matches the Rfam family "Bacterial small subunit ribosomal RNA", at positions 524 to 776 of the family's 1533-position model. The record is from RNAcentral.